UACGAGGGGGGCGAGCGUUGUUCGGAAUUAUUGGGCGUAAAGGGUGCGUAGGCGGUUCCGCAAGUCCUGUGUGAAAUCUUCGGGCUCAACUCGAAGUCUGCACGGGAAACUGCGGGGCUUGAGUGUGGGAGAGGUGAGUGGAAUUCCAGGUGUAGCGGUGAAAUGCGUAGAUAUCUGGAGGAACACCGGUGGCGAAGGCGGCGUUCUGGACUGCAACUGACACUGAAAAACGAAAGCCAGGGGAGCAAACGGG
RNAcentral lists this ribosomal RNA (253 nucleotides) under uncultured bacterium. RNAcentral's name for it is "partial 16S ribosomal RNA". It matches the Rfam family "Bacterial small subunit ribosomal RNA", at positions 524 to 776 of the family's 1533-position model. The record is from RNAcentral.